Octodon degus (degu) is the source of this 459-nucleotide long non-coding RNA. RefSeq lists it as uncharacterized. Lineage: Eukaryota; Metazoa; Chordata; Mammalia; Rodentia; Octodontidae. The transcript is spliced from 3 exons. The record is from RefSeq and is a predicted model, not a curated record.
CUGACAUCCUGCAUCACAAGCAGCUACUUCAAUCCGUCCCCACUACAGAGUGACGUUCAUGAGAUCGGGACUGUGCCACACUCGGCUCUGUGUGACUGGUGCUCCUUACAUAACGGAUGUCGUUUCCUGAGCGUCUAUUAUGUGCCAGGCGCUUAUGUAAUGCUCAGUCCUCGCCACAACCACCCCACGAGCCUGGGGAACAUCGUGGGGUCCCUCCGGAGAGCUUAGUAAGAGACUGUGCACUCAAGAGAGGACGCCAAUGUAGAAAAGCUGCCAGGAGAGGGGCCAGUCUGGGCAUGUGAUACCUACGGGGAGUGGGAUAGUGAUCAGCCCCUUCAUCGAGGGCUUUCCAGCCUCCCGCAGCAGGUAUUUUACAACGCACUCGAAUCUUCCAGCAACCGCAGCUGGUGUUGGUCCAGACAUUACAGAAGAGGAAGCGGAGGCCCACCCGGGUCCUGA